Molecule: ribosomal RNA, 252 nt
Filed under: uncultured bacterium
Lineage: Bacteria
Description: partial 16S ribosomal RNA
Rfam family: Bacterial small subunit ribosomal RNA
Source: RNAcentral
CACGUAGGGGGCGAGCGUUGUCCGGAUUUAUUGGGCGUAAAGAGCUCGUAGGCGGCUAAGUAAGUCGGGUGUGAAAACUCCAGGCUCAACCUGGAGACGCCACCUGAUACUGCUUUGGCUAGAGUCCGGUAGGGGAGCAUGGAAUUCCUGGUGUAGCGGUGAAAUGCGCAGAUAUCAGGAGGAACACCAGUGGCGAAGGCGGUGCUCUGGCCGGAACUGACGCUGAGGAGCGAAAGCGUGGGAGCAAACAGG